CGGAACACGUACAGAACCUUCCUUUGAGGCGGGGAAUAGCCCAGAAGUAAAUUUGGAUUAACUACCCCAUAGUAUAAUGAAGUGGCAUCACUUUAUUAUUAAAGAUUUAUCACUCGAAGAUGGCUGUGCGGCUGAUUAGGUAGUUGGCGGGGUAAAGGCCCACCAAGCCUGCGAUCAGUAACUGGUGUGAGAGCACGACCAGUCACACGGGCACUGAGACACGGGCCCGACUCCUACGGGAGGCAGCAGUAAGGAAUAUUGGUCAAUGGAGGCAACUCUGAACCAGCCAUGCCGCGUGGAGGAUGAAGGUCCUCUGGAUUGUAAACUUCUUUUAUAUGGGACGAAAAAGGCUUUUCUAAGUCGUCUGACGGUACCAUAUGAAUAAGCACCGGCUAACUCCGUG
This 403-nucleotide ribosomal RNA is filed under the name uncultured bacterium. Its description in RNAcentral is "bacterial SSU rRNA". It matches the Rfam family "Bacterial small subunit ribosomal RNA", at positions 109 to 507 of the family's 1533-position model. The record is from RNAcentral.